GGAUUGCUUGCAAUCUGAUGACGAGUGGCGCACGGGUGCGUAACGCGUAUGCAAUCUACCUUUUACAGGAGAAUAGCCCAGAGAAAUUUGGAAUAAUGCUCCAUAAUAUCAUUUAUCAGCAUUGGUUUAUGAUUAAAGCUCCGGCGGUAAAAGAUGAGCAUGCGUUCUAUUAGCUAGUAGGUGAGGUAACGGCUCACCUAGGCUACGAUAGAUAGGGGCCCUGAGAGGGGGAUCCCCCACACUGGUACUGAGACACGGACCAGACUCCUACGGGAGGCAGCAGUGAGGAAUAUUGGACAAUGGAGGAAACUCUGAUCCAGCCAUGCCGCGUGCAGGAUGACUGCCCUAUGGGUUGUAAACUGCUUUUAUAUAGGAAGAAACACUCCCACGUGUGGGGGCUUGACGGUACUAUAUGAAUAAGGAUCGGCUAACUCCGUGCCAGCAGCCGCGGUAAUACGGAGGAUCCAAGCGUUAUCCGGAAUCAUUGGGUUUAAAGGGUCCGCAGGCGGCCUGUUAAGUCAGAGGUGAAAUCCUACAGCUCAACUGUAGAACUGCUUUUGAUACUGAUAGGCUUGAGUUAUUGUGAAGUGGUUAGAAUGUGUGGUGUAGCGGUGAAAUGCUUAGAUAUCACGCAGAAUACCCAUUGCGAAGGCAGAUCACUAACAAUAUACUGACGCUCAUGGACGAAAGCGUGGGGAGCGAACGGGAUUAGAUACCCCGGUAGUCCACGCCGUAAACG
This 739-nucleotide ribosomal RNA is filed under the name uncultured marine bacterium. RNAcentral's name for it is "bacterial SSU rRNA". It matches the Rfam family "Bacterial small subunit ribosomal RNA", at positions 73 to 808 of the family's 1533-position model. The record is from RNAcentral.